GGUGCCUCUAUAACAAACUCUAGAUUUGAUUCCCCAAUCAAAUAUGGUACUGUAUUUUUACUCCAAGGUAUCUGAUUUUCUACCUCACGAACUUCAUCAAGUUCGAUCUUAGUGGCAUCAGUUUCUUCUCUAAGGAACUCUCUUUCAAAAAAGACUGUCCUAUUGCUGACAAACACCUUUUGCUCUUCGAUAAGGUAGAAAUAGUAUCCUUUUAUUUAUUUUGGAUAUCCUACAAAUAAACACUUAUCGGACCUGAGUCCAAGCUUAUCUGUCUUUAAGU
This 280-nucleotide long non-coding RNA is filed under the name Elaeis guineensis (African oil palm). RNAcentral describes it as "long non-coding RNA (EGUI_LNC067289)". Lineage: Eukaryota; Viridiplantae; Streptophyta; Magnoliopsida; Arecales; Arecaceae. The record is from RNAcentral.